Molecule: non-coding RNA, 81 nt
Organism: Caenorhabditis elegans
Lineage: Eukaryota; Metazoa; Nematoda; Chromadorea; Rhabditida; Rhabditidae
Source: Ensembl
GGGCUCAUAGGAACCACGUCAUAAAUCUAAAAGCCUUUAUGUGCACGAACCGUUAGCACAAUCUUCCCCCUCUUUUGCAGA